This 108-nucleotide microRNA precursor is filed under the name Loxodonta africana (African savanna elephant). RNAcentral's name for it is "miRNA (ENSLAFG00000029672.1)". The record is from RNAcentral. Lineage: Eukaryota; Metazoa; Chordata; Mammalia; Proboscidea; Elephantidae.
UUUCUUGACUAAUACUAUACGUAUAAAAACAUGUGUGUACAUGUAUAUGUAUGUAUAUGUAAGAUACACAUACAUAGUAGCAUACACACAUAUAUUUACAUGCAAACA